AGGCCGUGAUGGGGACACUUGCGUAAUAGCUCCUUGAACCUUUCCCAAGUUUCAUAUAAGGAUUCCCCAUCCUCUUGUGAGUAUGUAUUAAUUUCAGUCAUUAAUUU
Helianthus annuus (common sunflower) is the source of this 107-nucleotide non-coding RNA. The record is from Rfam. Lineage: Eukaryota; Viridiplantae; Streptophyta; Magnoliopsida; Asterales; Asteraceae.